AGAGUUUGAUCAUGGUUCAGGAUGAACGCUGGCGGCGUGCCUAACACAUGCAAGUCGAGCGAUUUACUUCGGUAAAGAGCGGCGGACGGGUGAGUAACGCGUGGGUAACCUGCCUCAUACACAUGGAUAACAUACCGAAAGGUAUGCUAAUACAAGAUGAUAUAAGAGAUUCGCAUGGAUUUCUUAUCAAAGCCUUUGCGGUAUGAGAUGGACCCGUGUCUGAUUAGCUAGUUGGUAAGGUAACGGCUUACCAAGGCGACGAUCAGUAGCCGACCUGAGAGGGUGAUCGGCCACAUUGGAACUGAGACACGGUCCAAACUCCCACGGGAGGCAGCAGUGGGGAAUAUUGCACAAUGGGCGAAAGCCUGAUGCAGCAACGCCGCGUGAGCGAUGAAGGCCUUCGGGUCGUAAAGCUCUGUCCUCAAGGAAGAUAAUGACGGUACUUGAGGAGGAAGCCCCGGCUAACUACGUGCCAGCAGCCGCGGUAAUACGUAGGGGGCUAGCGUUAUCCGGAUUUACUGGGCGUAAAGGGUGCGUAGGUGGUUUCUUAAGUCAGGAGUGAAAGGCUACGGCUCAACUGUAGUAAGCUCUUGAAACUGGGAAACUUGAGUGCAGGAGAGGAAAGUGGAAUUCCUAGUGUAGCGGUGAAAUGCGUAGAUAUUAGGAGGAACACCAGUAGCGAAGGCGGCUUUCUGGACUGUAACUGACACUGAGGCACGAAAGCGUGGGGAGCAAACAGGAUUAGAUACCCUGGUAGUCCACGCCGUAAACGAUGAGUACUAGGUGUCGGGGGUUACCCCCCUCGGUGCCGCAGCU
RNAcentral lists this ribosomal RNA (816 nucleotides) under uncultured bacterium. RNAcentral's name for it is "bacterial SSU rRNA". It matches the Rfam family "Bacterial small subunit ribosomal RNA", at positions 8 to 853 of the family's 1533-position model. The record is from RNAcentral.